UGAGAGAAAAGCCCUUACCUCACUAUCUCUCUCCUGCUUCAUUCAAAUCGUCUCUUCUUCCUCCGGUUCCGAGAUCUCUAUUCCGACGUUUUCUAACCUCCUCUCCGUUCCAUCGACCUCAACCUCCGAUCCCAUGAUCAAGAUGUGGCAGAAGCUUAUUCACCUUCAGUCUCUAGGGUUUCCGACGCCAAAUUAUCCACCGCUAUCUCUCAGGACUUGAACUUCGAUAUCGAAGAACCCGAUGCCAAUUCUACACCUGCGAUUCCUGGCCUAUUCGUGUCUGCUUCUGAAGCUGGAGCGCUCUCUGGUUUGGCUACAGAUCGAGGCGUUAAGCAAAUGAAAGUAAUUGAGCAGGUUGGCGAUGGAGGAUACAGAUGACAAGGAGAUGAUUGGGAUAGCGACAGCGAAGACAAUCAUCAGAUAGUGGUGAAUGACAACUUCAUGAUCGGAUCUGACAGAAGGUCAAGAAUGGGAGUUAACAACGAAGAUGAUGAAGAACCACUUGUUAUAGUGGCUGACACGGAUCCAAAUCAACCUAUGGAGGAGAAGCUUUGAGGAGACGAUUGGUCUUCAAGCGGUGGGUAUCAUCCAUUUAAUUCUCAGUUUAAGGUUUACUAUGUCGAGAAGGCGACAACUAGGCAAGUAGAAUCUGCUUGUUGGAGAAGGUUCGUAAACAGAUUAUCAAGAUUCAAAAUCUCUACUGAAAUCAAACAUUCCUAUGACCACAACACCCAAAGAUUCGUUAGAGCUUUGAUCUAUUUUGGUUAACCAAAGAGGACUCCCAAGGCCAGUAUUGCCAGCAAAGAAAGGCCAAGAUUAGCAGAUGUGGCAAUGGUGCCUGAAUGAGGAGGGGCAUGUGGCG
This is a long non-coding RNA of Brassica oleracea var. oleracea, 862 nucleotides long. RefSeq lists it as uncharacterized. The transcript is spliced from 3 exons. Lineage: Eukaryota; Viridiplantae; Streptophyta; Magnoliopsida; Brassicales; Brassicaceae. The record is from RefSeq and is a predicted model, not a curated record.